RNAcentral lists this long non-coding RNA (301 nucleotides) under Elaeis guineensis (African oil palm). RNAcentral's name for it is "long non-coding RNA (EGUI_LNC038668)". Lineage: Eukaryota; Viridiplantae; Streptophyta; Magnoliopsida; Arecales; Arecaceae. The record is from RNAcentral.
GUGUCACUACGAUGACUUGCAAGCAACUCACUAUGCUUGGGUGUUGGACUAUCUAAAUUUUUAAUUUAGUAAUGAAAGAUUUUUGGGCAUAGUCAAGUACUUAUGAAGUUGGUGUGUGAGUCAAGAUAGAAUUUACCCCUCCGAAUAAGUAGGAGUUAAUGUAUCAGUGUGUUUUAAUUCAAUAAAACUUUGGUCGGAGUAAUCCAUGUGAUGAAUUUUGAAAAUUAAAAUAUAAUGCAGAUGAUCAUAUCAAGGUUGGCAGUUAAAAUUCUAAGUCACCUUGAGUAUUUGGAUCAAAGGG